RNAcentral lists this ribosomal RNA (247 nucleotides) under uncultured bacterium. Its description in RNAcentral is "partial 16S ribosomal RNA". It matches the Rfam family "Bacterial small subunit ribosomal RNA", at positions 32 to 256 of the family's 1533-position model. The record is from RNAcentral.
AAUCAACGCUGGCGGCGUGCCUCAGACAUGCAAGUCGAACGAGAAAGUCCCCUUCGGGGGAGUGAGUAAAGUGGCGCACGGGUGAGUAACACGUAGGUAAUCUACCUUCGGGUGGGGAAUAACCCAGGGAAACUUGGGCUAACACCGCAUAAUGCAGCGGCACCACAUGGUGACAGUUGUUAAAGCGGGGGAUUUUAGGUACCUCGCGCCUGAAGAGGAGCCUGCGGCGGAUUAGCUAGUUGGGAGG